UUGCUUGAGCAGCACCUAUACUAAAGUUGGAAUCAUACAGAGAAUGUUAGCAUGGCCCCUACACAAGGAUGACACACAAAUUCAUGACUUGUUCCAUAUUUUU
Molecule: small nuclear RNA, 103 nt
Filed under: Chinchilla lanigera (long-tailed chinchilla)
Lineage: Eukaryota; Metazoa; Chordata; Mammalia; Rodentia; Chinchillidae
Source: RNAcentral